GUGUUACUUACCGGUUUGUUUUACCCAACUCGCAGCAAGCCAAAACGGUGAGAUGCUGAGGUUUGCACCAAAGCAAGGAGAUGGGCAAAUAGGUGUCAAAUCAUCUCGGAGAAGCCAAGACAAUCUUUGUACAGCACUGGCAUAACUAAGCUUCAGGCCUCUGCACAUUUUAAAGGUCACAAGUGCGCAUGCCUACGCAUGCCCAGACCAGCGGUCAGGGGUCCUUUCUAGCCCUAAGGCGCGCAGCUCGAACUAGACACAGCUGACUCUUGGCUCAGCCUUAACUACGUGCAGCUGACUCCAAGUUCCUGGAAAACAACUCAGGCAGGCAUCUUAUUGUUCAGGCUGCAUGCUGCCUGGAGGACGUGAAAAUCUUAAAACCUUGUUCAGAGAAGACACACUUCUUCAGAGCUGCUUGAAAAAGGCCGCUGCCCAGCCCAGCUUUCUCUGCCCAGCUUCUCACCGCCACUAUCUGGAGAUUGCAGGGGAUUUGCCUCUGGGACAAAUGGAGAAAGUGGCGUCAACACAGACACACUGUCAUGUGUGGAGCAGUCAGCUCUGAGAAGUUGUCUGUAACACAGGGAGCCCAGCCUGGUGCUCUGUGAUGACUUAGAUGAGUGAGAUAGGGACGGGGAGAGAGGCUGACCAGAGAGGGAAUGUCCAUACAGCUAAUUCACAUUGUUGUACAGCAGAAACC
Bos taurus (domestic cattle) is the source of this 697-nucleotide long non-coding RNA. NCBI's taxonomy places the organism in Eukaryota, Metazoa, Chordata, Mammalia, Artiodactyla, Bovidae. The record is from Ensembl.